Chenopodium quinoa (quinoa) is the source of this 2325-nucleotide long non-coding RNA. RefSeq lists it as uncharacterized. The transcript has 4 exons. Lineage: Eukaryota; Viridiplantae; Streptophyta; Magnoliopsida; Caryophyllales; Amaranthaceae. The record is from RefSeq and is a predicted model, not a curated record.
UCUCUCUCUCUCUCCUCAUUUUCAUAUUGCUAGAUCUGGAUUUCCAUGUUUUUGAGCUUGAUUUUUUUUUUUUGUAAGACUUAUUAUUUGUUUUUCUUGAUGAUGCAAUUAUUACAAAGUGAUUUUCACAUGAUGAAUCAUUAAUUGGCUAUAAUUGGAUUUUUUUAAAAUCUUAUAUUUUGUCUAAUAAUUUCUUUUCAUUAACUUCUUGCUAAAUAUAGACUAAUUCCUGUAAUCUGUAGUUCUAUUAUUAUACUACCUUGAUUUUUAUAUAUUCCAAAGUUGCAAAUAAUAAAUAAUAAAAAUCGGAGGUAGGAUUUAUUGUUUAUUCAUACAAAUUGCAUUUUUAAAAAUUAAUGUACUGUAACAUUAUUCAUCUUAAAGAAUGUACUGGUAGUUUGGACAGAUUAUGGACAAAUGCUUCCAAGUGUUUAACAAUUAAUAUUGAAUGGGAAAUUAGUAGAAUUAUACUGAUGGUGUUUUGGUUUGAAUCGAGAUGAUGUGAAUGGAAGGCACAUUUCUGUUUUUGGCGCUCACUUUCUCGAGUUAUGUUUGCAAGAUAAGCAAGUGCUUUACUAGAAAUGCGAAAUGUAUAUAGCUGAUUAGCUGCUGUAUUCGGGGAAGGGCACGAUGAAAUAAACUGUUGUAUUCAGGGAAAAUCUUGAUGAAUUGACGAAUGUUGCAUUCAGGAAACUACAUUGAGCGUGUUCAGUUCUGUUACAACGAGUGCUUUAGGGAUUAUAUGUAUAUGAUAGAGGAGUUCUUUUGGUUGUUAAGGAAAAUUGUCAGCUUAAUGUUGUUGGGAUACAAAGAUGUAAGGUGGGGGAGUGUUAAAGAGAAAACGAACGGUUUUGGUGUGUUUUGAGAGGGGCUUAAUGCCUAGAGCUUAAUAAAGUCCCUUUCCUGUUUAAAAGUGAUAAGGACAAUUCUUUGCUUGAGUAAAAUAGCUAUCCAAACAUGGUGCUAUACUUGUAAUAAAGUGAGUUGAUGGUUAAUAGUGCUUCCUAGCCUCAUAGGAUGUCCAGAGCUCAUUGUAGGAUGAAGUUUGAAGCUUAAUAAGCUAUGGAUUUAUGGAUGUAUAUGCACUUCUACUCUAAUAAAGAUAUAAUUGUGACUAUUUAAUUAAAACUUGGUAUAUUUAUGCUGUAGCCACAUCUGUCGUCUCCAUCUUCCUCCAGAUUAGAAAUCUUGAUGGGGUGGUAGAUGGUUGCUCGAUUGAGAAUCUUGAGUUAAUAUGUUGUAUGGAGCUCUUUAUGCCUCCAAGCAUCUCACUGAAAAGAGUGAUUUCAUUAUAUUUUUACUACGGCCUAUUACUUCGUUUUGAAUGUAAAAGGUUAAAUAAUUAUGCCAAGGAAUACUGUGAAACAUAGAAGGAUAUAUGUGCUGAACAUUUUCUUAGCUCUUUAUUGUAAAUAUAACUAAAGUGUGUAAUGUUGAAUGAAUUAGCCGUGUCCUGCACUCCUGCUGGAGGAACAUCUGCACCUUUUUCUCAGCUUGAUCCAUGUGAUUUCCUUUCUACUCUGUGUUUGUUAAGCAGCAAUUACACUUGGGAGAAGUGGGAAGCAAUAAUAAAGCUGCUAAUGCAGCUAACUCAUUGGUUUAUGCAUAUAGAACUCAAGAAUCUGAGACCCCAGCUUUACUCUGCCGCUGAAUACUGCAAGACGUCUUAUCUUCUAAGGUAUUGGACAACCUAAAAGAUUAUGCUGCAUGAGCUCUAGUAAAUGCUGAAGAUCACCUAGGCACAGUUGCGUACAAAUUGACUGACCUUCUUGAGCAACAAACUUCAGAUGUGUCAAACUCAGAGCUGAAAGUAACAUGUCUAAAUCAGAAACUUCUCACUUGCCACACGUAUAUGGAGAUGGAAGGCCUUAGGCAGCAGCAACUUUUGGCAAUGAUUCCAAGACAUCACAAAACGCUAUAUAUUGCCAAAUAAGGAACAUUGUCCAACAAUUUUUUGGCCCUUCAAAAUUGUCUCCUCUGUUGUGUUGUAACUGACACAGCCUAUAUUUUGUACUGUGAAUACCAUUUUGCAAUCCCUGUAUCCCUUAGAACAUCUAGCACCACCAAUAGUUUAAAUCCCUAUAAGGAGAAAUGAGGCAAACAUUCAACGAAGAGACUAAAAAAUAAUCUGUAUUUUACCAAAAUAAAAUUUCCAUGUAGACUUUGAUCACUUUGAUGUUUGAUGGUCUAUAGGAAGUUGAUGUCUUCUAGUUAUUUAGCUGUGAUUAAGGCUAUUGUGUAGUAUUGUACUCCGUAUUAUAUAGAUUGAGUCAUCGAUAUAUAUUGUUAUAUGGUAUGGAUAAACAAGUUGAAAAUAGAUGGAUU